GCCUAUAAUCAUACCACCCUGAAUAUGCCCGAUCUUGUCUGAUCUUGGAAGCUAAGCAGGGUUGAGCCUGGUUAGCACUUGGAUGGGAGACUGCCUGGGAAUACCAGGUGCUGUAGGCU
Molecule: ribosomal RNA, 119 nt
Filed under: Prolemur simus (greater bamboo lemur)
Lineage: Eukaryota; Metazoa; Chordata; Mammalia; Primates; Lemuridae
Source: RNAcentral